CGGCGGACGGGUGAGUAACACGUGGGUAACCUACCUAUAAGACUGGGACAACUUCGGGAAACCGGAGCUAAUACCGGAUAAGAUAUCGAACCGCAUGGUUCGAUAGUGAAAGAUGGUUUUGCUAUCACUUAUAGAUGGACCCGCGCCGUAUUAGCUAGUUGGUGAGGUAACGGCUCACCAAGGCAACGAUACGUAGCCGACCUGAGAGGGUGAUCGGCCACACUGGAACUGAGACACGGUCCAGACUCCUACGGGAGGCAGCAGCA
Molecule: ribosomal RNA, 266 nt
Filed under: uncultured Staphylococcus sp.
Lineage: Bacteria; Bacillati; Bacillota; Bacilli; Caryophanales; Staphylococcaceae
Description: partial 16S ribosomal RNA
Rfam family: Bacterial small subunit ribosomal RNA
Source: RNAcentral